Molecule: long non-coding RNA, 3081 nt
Filed under: Nicotiana tabacum (common tobacco)
Lineage: Eukaryota; Viridiplantae; Streptophyta; Magnoliopsida; Solanales; Solanaceae
Description: long non-coding RNA (NTAB_LNC005732)
Source: RNAcentral
UUUUUAACCGAGUCUCCUGAAAAGUCACUUCUUCAAUCCUGCUCCGUCUCUUCUUCUUUCUCUUACCGACGUUUGCAGUCUACUGACAACAAAAUGCCUCCAUCUCUUUUUCUUUCUUCACAUGAAUCUGAAUCAACCAAUCUCCAUGGAUCGGGUGCUCAAAGGUGCGAGAAUUUACGGUUCUCUCAACUUAUCAAAUUGUUCUAUCAGGCAAGUCCCCAAUACUCUAAUUCUUCUUGCUCCAUUUUAUUUUUGUUGAGUUGCUUCCUACAUUUCUUUCUUUCAUAGCCGAUGAUUCUGUUUUCUGUUAGCAUUGUAUCUGAACGAUGAAUUUAGAACAUUUUUAAAGCUGCAAAAUUGGGUUUUUUUUGUACUAAUGUUGAGUGAGGACCGAGGAUGAAUGCUUAGUUGGACUAUCCUAUCUAAAAUCUGAAGAUCCUUAAAGUUUCUGGACUUAGUUGUACUCUGAUGAAUUCUUGUGUUGGUUUCAUGAAAAUCGAAAAUUUCAAUGUUCAACAAAUUGUUUGAACCAAAACAUUCUGUCCCUGAUUUUUAGAACUUCACAACGAUGAAAAUUUCAAUGUUCAAGAAAUUGUUGGGAUUCUUGUGUUGUGUUAUCGCUCAUUUUAUUUUGUCCUGCUUUUUUUUUUAAUAAAAAAAACAAGUAUAAUUUAGUCAUCACUUAGUUGUACUCUGAUGAAUUCUUGUGUUGGUUUCAUGAAAAUCGAAAAUUUCAAUGUUCAACAAAUUGUUUGAACCAAAACAUUUUGUCCCUGAUUUUUAGAACUUCACAACGAUGAAAAUUUCAAUGCUCAAGAAAUUGUUGGGAUUCUUGUGUUGUGUUAUCGCUCAUUUUAUUUUGUCCUGCUUUUUUUUUUUAAAUAAAAAAAACAAGUCUAAUUUAGUCAUCUUCCUGAAAUACAAAUAUUUGUGGUUUAAUGCUUUUUAAACAGACCCAUUUGCCUAACUUUUCAUUGGUACUCCAAUUUGCUAGACUUUGAGAAUUACAUCAAAUAACUGUUGUAGUAUUAGUUUUAUCACCUGCUCUUGCGGAUCUCUUCCUUAUAGAUAUGUUAGAAUUGAUUCAUGCAUGCAUGUGAUUCAAAGUUAUAUUAUUCUAUUCCUUGUUGAAUGAAACUGAGGGGGACUACUAAGGUUGAGGAAAACUUGGUAUCCAUCAGCGAGCCUAAGGUAGCAAGAAAACUUAUUAAUGUAAGCUGCCACAUAUUAUUGUCUUGAAUUUUGUUUGAACGUGCUCUUUUUACUUCCUAAUUUAUUGAGUCCGGGUUGAGUUAGUUGACCUAUACUUCUUUAAAUUCUUAAAUUCUGUUUUCAAAAGUAAUACUACAUAGACCGAGUUGUGAUUUUAGAUGUAAAAAGUCUUUCUCUUCUUUUCUAAUUUCGGUAUGGGCAGAAGUUGUUCACUUUUUGCUGCUUAUUGGGGAAGUGGUAUGACAGUUUUGGUUUGAUCAUGAUAUAAAUUUACAUUUGUUUGAUGUUUCAGUUAGGUUUGCUCAAGAUUUAUUUGGUUGAACUUCUGGUUGUUAUUGCAGUUGAAUGGAGGAAUGUGUCAUAGCGCGAAAGCACUUGGAAUCACUCUUGCUGUAAUUGCGUAAAAGCCGCAUAGCAUUCGGAGGACCGUGAAAAAUACGAGUUAGUGAGUUUUCCAGUUGAAGAUAGAAGUGGAGGAUAGGUGAGAGUUAGUUUUUAUAUUGUCCUUUCUUAUCAUGGAAGUUCUUUUGAUGGAUAGCAGAAGUAGUCAGACAUGAAUACUAUCCAAGGUUAGUGCUUUUUUAACUUACCGAUUUAUAUCAUGGAUGCAGUGUCAUUUGCUCUAUGGCCUUUCACGUGGCAACUAUCUUGAGCUAACGAUAGUUUUGAGUUUAACAUUCUUUUAGCAGCAUGGUGCUCGUAGUUACUUUAUAAUUGUGCAUGAUAUUGUAAAUAGUUAAGUUCAAGUUGCUGAUUUCCUAUGGCAUCUCAAGCUAAAAAUUCUAUAUCUUGUAGUCUAUUUUUGUUGCAUAAAGAUGUUAUACCUAGCUUUUUAAAUUAUUUUUCGAACUACAUUCUUUAGGCACUUCCCUGUUGGAACUCUAGAGAAGGAAUUUUUUUAACGGUAAGAAAAGCAAGAUGACAAAAAUCAUAGAUCCUCAUAGAAGACAUUUUAGAAAAUACUUGCCCUAAAAAAAAUAAGUAAUUAAUUUUCAACAUUGAUAAUAGCCGUUUGGUAGAUUAUUUUUGCCCUUUGGCAUUGGCAAUUUUGUCAAAUAUUGUAUCUAUUGAAGCUUAUAAUUCCUUAUGCUUACCGAUAUUUCGAUGCAGAUAUUUUAGUUUCAGAUUCCAAAUUCAAUAACAUGAUUUUGAUACAAUGAAGCUCACUUAUGAGACUCAACAUUUGAGCUGAUGGUAAUUUUAUUUAUCAAGUGUUUUGACAAAACUAUUUAUUUGUUAAUUCAAUGAGGUUGUGGCUGAUUUGCUACACACUCUAGCAGCUAUUGCUUUUCUGUAGUGAUGAAUUUGAGAGCUUCUUUUCUGUAGUGAGAGGAAAACAUAGAAUAGCCCUGAAACUAAAACAGAAGCAAAGCUUGAUAAAGAGAAGAUUGAAAUACCUGUUGAAGAAGAGGAGACCAUUGAAUUGCCACCUGAAGAUUGAUCUUUUCACAGGGCAAUGGUUUUAUGACAACGUCACUCACCAAAUUAACAAAGAACGUCAGCACAUGUUACUUGCAUGACGUUGAAGACUCUUCAUGUACCAAAAUUGGAGGUGACAACCCAUAGACUAUUCAAGUAUGAGAGUCAUUUUUGAAUUCUUGAUUAUUCAAUCUUAACAUGUAUUGCAUAUAUGUAUGCAUGUAAAGGUGAAUGAAUAGACUACUUGGUUUGAUUUUUUAAUAAAAGGUGGAGUCAGGUUUAAUUGGUUAGAUGCAAUUUUCAAUAUUAUGUAAGUUGUACCUUUGGCUUGUGAGUAGGGGAUAAGACGUGAACUUAAAGUCCAGAUUGCAUCUUGAGGCUGUUUGUUUGGUAUUUUUGUUUAUGAGCUAUCUCAGGACCAUGAAUUUGUAAAUUAUAUUUCUCUGUUUU